Astatotilapia calliptera (eastern happy) is the source of this 2450-nucleotide long non-coding RNA. The record is from Ensembl. NCBI's taxonomy places the organism in Eukaryota, Metazoa, Chordata, Actinopteri, Cichliformes, Cichlidae.
CUUUUUAUUAAGACAAGUACUCUUCUGAUUUUUUUUUUCCUUUUGUAAAAAUGUUGGCGUGAACCAAUACAAAAUAUGCAUGGCCAUAUGAGAAACAUCCUCUUCACUACACAAAAGAAAAUAUGCCACCUGGGAAUAGAGAGAAAUUUAAGAUUCAACAACAUAAACAACCAUUGUGGGGUUAUAAAACAAGCGACCCACCCACCCUGCUCCCGACCCUUCCCCACGCCGCCGCCCCAGGCUUUAAACAUAAAGUUCAUCCAAAUAUCCAAGACGUUACAGAUCGUUGAUAAAACUUCAUGUCACAGUAAAUACACCAUCUUCAUCUAUGAAUGCAAACAGAUGCUUGAUUGACUGUCUGUGGUCACAUCCUAUAAUUACUAAAUAACCGAUACUGCAUGAGCAAAAUGUUACAGUGGAGGAGGAAGAAGAAGAAGAGGUUUCAUGAACAUCAUCGUGAUUUUGUUGACACUGACUGUACAUCAUUUUUGUCUGCUUAACAAAUCUAGUUUUUCUUUCUUUGUGAACUAGGUCUAUGCAAAAUAAUUAACGUUUACUGUAACAGUGCACCAUAUUAAGAACACAUAAACUUGUACAACUGAGAAAAACAUGUACAUCCUGUGGUUUCUUUACUUUUUCGAAUAGCUGUGGUACUACAGUAUAUACUUGGGGCCAUAAAUUUGCAUUCUACCUGAGAUGCAAAAAAACACAACUAUUAACACUCAUGAACCUGAGAGAGUGAAAACAAACAUACUCAAUAUCAAGUAUUUCAAAAUAACAAAAUCAAAAACGGAAUUAGAACGAUGCUUCCGGCGAUCUUUUAACGUUGCCCCAUUAAAAGCAGCAAUCGCCAUUUAAGAUAAAUAUCAAAUCCCAGAAAACAAAAAGGUCAUGCACAUAACUGUUCCCAUGACACUGUAACUACAAUCCAGAAAAGUUACUUUUAUUGUAGCUUAUUAUAGCUUUAAGUACAGUAUUCCUCUCUGAUAAUACAGUACUACAGAGCCUUGUCCUUGAAAAUAUCCAAAUAAAUAAUAAAUGAAGUGAAGCUGAGAUAAUAACACUUUUUUUGUGGUCAUUAAUUAAGACAAGUACUAUAUCCUGGAAUACAACAUUCUAGUCAGUGGAAGCUGCCAAUACUUUUUUUCUUUUCCAGCUUUAAACUCAUUCCAGCUUUUUUAUGCUGCAGGUUGUAAUUGUGAUGCCGCUCUAUGGUGCGCGGACAGACGACUGGGAUGAGUAUUGGCCCUGUAAGUUAAAAAGGACGGAUAUAUACAAGGUAUACUGUAAGAGUGUACAUGAGGAUACUGUAUGAUACUAACCAUAUGCCUCAAAAUCAAAGGAGAAGGCACUAAAUUAAGUCCUUCAGUCUUUUCCUUUAUAAUGAUAAGUAUCAAGAGGUGGGUUUAAGGCAGUGGUUAUCCUUUUUCAUAAUACAUUUACAGAUUUUUUUUUCCUCCAUUAUUUUAGGCAAUACACUGAAAUCACUCGCUAAUUACCAAACGGAUUUUCCUCUUCUAGUCAGAGAUGAAGCGCGCGCCGUGUGCACACUGCCGAUUUGUGUUGUCGAACAAAAAGAGAGAAAUUUCUAACAGCAGACACUUCGUCUGUGAAGGUUUGUGGCUGCAGGAUGACAGUAAGAAAAUUAUCUUUCCCCCAAGUCUAAAGCUAUCUGCAAAUCUUUGAUAACUUGUAUGGCCAAGAGCCCUCGCAAGUUAUCAAAGGUGAAAUGUCUAAAAACACAGCAAGAAAAUAUAACUCAUUCAUAUUUGCAGCAAUACUUGUGUAUGGGUAAGGGCAAAAAAAAAUAAAAAUAAGCUGUGAAUUUUUUGUUCACGUGCUGUAUUGACAGAGACGUGCCAGGAUAUUUUACAUGGGCAGGAAACACUGAAGGCCUAACAUUCUUUCUUCCCUUAGAUACGGCAAAUAAAAGGGUAAAACCUUGGAAAAUUAAUAACUCAAGGCCUUUUAACAUCUCCCAGUUAACUGGCCAAUAUAGUGUGCCAUCAAAUAAAGUCAGUUAUUUAGCGAGAAGCUCACUGCAAAGCUCUAUGCUUUACACAAGCUAUACUUGCUGUAUACUGUAUAAGCGCACUAUAAUUAUUAGAUGUGGUCCAAGGUAGACUACGUGGGUGGUAUGAAAAGGUGACAAAUGUCAUAUUUAAAACAAAAGCGAACAGACACAUGGCAGGGUAUACCAACAGCUAAUGAAUACCAUUAAAUAAAAUGUUACGAUCAGUGUAGCAGGACCUAUUUUGUGUAAGGCGUGUAUGUGUGAAUGUAAAGUUUGACCCAUAAUAACACCUGCAAACAGAGUCUUUUGGGUCAAUAACUACUGAAGAGGGGUAGAAUCAGCUACACUUACAAGCUGCAGUGAAGCUCAAGGUAGCCAAGUCUCAAGCUAGCUGGCUGUUGGCUGUAGUUUUCUAUUUAUCAUAGAGACAUCAAGC